RNAcentral lists this long non-coding RNA (629 nucleotides) under Homo sapiens (human). RNAcentral's name for it is "HSALNT0024421". Lineage: Eukaryota; Metazoa; Chordata; Mammalia; Primates; Hominidae. The record is from RNAcentral.
CUGGCUGCGGCUGCGCUCCCCGCCGCCCGCCUGCGCCUCCGGGGCCGGCCCUGCAGAUCAGUUGGCCUUAUUUCCUCAGUGGAAAUCUACUCACUAUGAUGUGGUAGUUGGCGUGUUGUCAGCUCGCAAUAACCAUGAACUUCGAAACGUGAUAAGAAGCACCUGGAUGAGACAUUUGCUACAGCAUCCCACAUUAAGUCAACGUAAAAGCUCUGAAAUGGGCAUGAGGAAACGUGCAUGUGCGAGGUGAAGAUCAGUAACUGAUGUUAAUGCCAACACAUCUCUCAGUGUGCUUGUGAAGUUCAUAAUAGGUGCUCAUGGCUGUGAAGUGCCUGUGGAAGACAGGGAGGAUCCUUAUUCCUGUAAACUACUCAACAUCACAAAUCCAGUUUUGAAUCAGGAAAUUGAAGCGUUCAGUCUGUCCGAAGACACUUCAUCGGGGCUGCCUGAGGAUCGAGUUGUCAGCGUGAGUUUCCGAGUUCUCUACCCCAUCGUUAUUACCAGUCUUGGAGUGUUCUACGAUGCCAAUGAUGUGGGUUUCCAGAGGAACAUCACUGUCAAACUUUAUCAGGCAGAACAAGAGGAGGCCCUCUUCAUUGCUCGCUUCAGUCCUCCAAGCUGUGGUGUGC